Non-coding RNA from Salmo salar (Atlantic salmon), 3794 nucleotides. The record is from RefSeq and is a predicted model, not a curated record. NCBI's taxonomy places the organism in Eukaryota, Metazoa, Chordata, Actinopteri, Salmoniformes, Salmonidae.
CUCAACAGUUUCCGGCUAACAGAGAGUCAAAGGUUACUAAGUAGAAUACCAGGAAGCAAAGAUUUAAUAAAACAUAUUUGUCAGAAUGUAAAGUCCCCUACUGUACUGUGAGCUGUAUGGACUGUAUCAGGUGCAAUAACCUGCUUUGAUAUUAUUUGCUGUUCUCUUCCUUUCUGACUUGAACUCUGUGUACAUACCAUUAAAGCAUUACUCUUAAGAUGUGAAUCUAGCUAUACAAAUGUAACACAAAUUGUGUGUGUUUGUGUGUGUACAGAAUGCUGAUAACCAGCUAAAACGCCUACAGAAGACUCUGAAAAACCCACUGGGCAACGCUGGGGUGCUGGCUGGAGAACUCACCAAGCAGGCCAAGAGGCAGAUUGGGGCACAGGGCUGACACUACAGGGAACCCAUAGUGGAGAACUGCCAGUGAGCAGUUGGGAGCCCUUGUUGAAGUGCUGCUCCUCGAACACGGCAGGAGGAUCCUAGUUGAGUGAAUAAGAGCGCCGUCCACGUGACCGGAUCGGUGAUGCUAUGACAGUGGAUUGGAUGUUGAUACUGUGAUGCGCAGCUUGUGCUGAAGAGACUUGCUGACAGUGCCAUUGACCUGUACGCCAUGGUGGUCGUCCUGUCUCGAUAUAAAGGUGUCCUGUUCCCUGAGUCAGGGCCAUCCCUCUCUGCCCAGCAUGAGAAGAUGUUGUGUGAGAACUGGUAUUCUGACACGGGCAGGCCCGUGAGAGGAUUAUGCAGAACAUCAAGACUGCGCUCCCGCAAUGCCGAGCAGAUCUUCAAGAACCCGAGGGCCAUCUCUACAGCCGCGGUGGAAAACGGAGGAGCGGUCAGCCCUCCGGCUCUGGGCUUCUAAAUGCCCCCUCUCAUUCCUGUCUUUAGCUCUCCCUUCUCUCUUUACUGCCUCUCCCUCCCUCCUCUUUCCAUCAACUCUCCCCCUUUCCUCUCUCUCUUUAACUACAGCCACACUCAUCGCCAGCAAGCUGAAUGUGUUAACUUGUGUUUAUAUAAUUAUUUAAGUCAAUGAGACACAGAGACUUUAACCCGUUAGGUUAUAAAAUCUUUGCCUUGGGAAACAAAUCGCAAAAUGCUGUGCAGUACCUCUUUGUGACUUGAUUUCGAGAAAGUUCUACACAUUAGCUAGAAAUUCAAAUGACUUUCAUAAUUUCUUAAGCAGGAAAUGUUUUCUGUAGAGUUAAUGUGCUGGUAAUGCCAUUCCUUCACAUCUACCAUUACUAUGGCCAAAGUGCAGCCGUUUCCUCAGCUAAAAUGCAUAUUAGCUCAAUAAACUGUAAUAGGGUCUAAUCUACCAAAAUGACUUCAACUUACAUCGAGAUAUUAUGGACAUUUUGCUACAUAGUUUCUGAUGGCCUCGCAGGAUUCUUACAUGGCUCUUAUUUGCCCCGUUCUACCCCCAGAAUGUCUGCUAGCCUUACAGGGCCCAUUUCAAUGCUGUUUAAAAAAAAAUUGAUUGCAAGGAACAGCAAUAUUUAGUAUUGUUGUCAGGUACGUACUACAUACAUUAUUAAGUGAAGAUAAUAGUUUCAACUGACUCAUUGGACAAUUGUCAGGUCUUUUUGAAACCACACACACAUUUGGCCAGUGCCUGGUCUCAUAGCAGUUGGUAGACGCCUCUAUAAUGUUCAAGGUUUGGAAGGAAAUCUCUGUCUUCUGUCUGUCUGCACCAGAAUGUAGCAUUGGAACAUUUCUGCAAAUUGAGCUGUCCUGCUAGCUUAUUGUCUCUAAGCUUGGCCAGUGCACUGCACCAUGGGGCUUAGAGGAGAUAUUGUGAUGUGUUGACAAAAUAAAUACAAUGUCUAACUGAAGUAUAGUCACUUGAACUUCCCUUUAAAAGUUGUUUGUUUGAUAAAUGUUACCCUUUGUUAUUUAUUAUGUUUCCCCACGUGUGAAACGGAAAAGAGGGCGGUCAUGAAACACCUGGAGGCAAGAGCUAGAAAAAGACAACAAAAGAUCCAGCAUGGGGUGGAACGAAUUGGAGAAGGCUGCCCAGAACAGAGUGUGAUUCGUCUAUGCCUUAUGCCACCUGGUGGUACCCAAAGUAUUCAUAACAGUAUAAUUCUGUUAGUUUGAGAGAAAGGCCAAGUACACUAAAACUUAACCUAAACAUAAAAACAUGUUGAGACAAGUCUUCAUUAAAAGCACUUUAUAGUCCAGGACUAAAACCUUGUGUAAUGUAGGUCUGAGCAGGGAAACCCCUCCAGUCCACUCAUCUGAACCUUAAUCUUAGUUUCAUUUCAUCAACAUCCUCGUUUACCGAACCUAACCAGGCAAUUACAGGAAUGAGUUGUGGUGUGUGAAGACUGAUAAUGUGUCAAAGUCAAACAUUGUCCCCUGCUUCAUCCUCUGUGAAUGUGCACUACGAAUCAUAGUUUGGUUGUGUAUUUGCAUGUAGGUUAUCUGCUGCGCCAGUAAUGAGGAACUCUUGCGGUUUGCCGUUGAGAAUUUCCCCUUGUCUGAGUGUACAGUGAGCACCAAGUCUGACAAACUGAAGUGAAGCGAGCUCAACCACAGAGCUGCUACUGCUCCAGAUCACAUGCUGUUCACAGUAUUAACUCUUGUAUUACUGGAAAUCUGUCACGGGUCUAUAUGGUAGUGAUGGGCAAUAAUGUUCAAUCUGGCUCCUGCUUGAAUUAAUUGGAAUCUUUUAAUUUCAAGUAAUAUGUAUUGUCUUGACUUUAUCUCACAAAAAAGUCAUUGCUGCUUCAAUUAUCAUUAAUGAAUCAACACUUGCAUACUAGGCUAAAUUGCACAAUGCUCAUGCAGUCAAUUCUGGUGUCUUCUGGGUUUUUGUACUAGCAGAGUAGGCGCAGGGGAGCCACACCCACCCAAUGAGAUUGAGCAAAAAUGCUCUUUACUUGUCUGUUUUCCAAACGGGACAUUAUUUGUCUUUUUACCUAAACUUGCAAACACCAUAAGAUAAAAUUCAUAGCAAGCAGUGCACUGGGUUAGUCAGAUUUGAUUAAAUAUAACAACAGAGUCACUGGAAUGACAUUCACUCUCACGGGAUGGGUUGCCAAAAAUAACUAACUGAAAGCCACACCCCCAAUAAGCCACGAAUGACUGCAUUGAGGCAUAAUGUCACUGUGCUUCUAUGGCUAUAUAUACACGAUGUCACAAGCUAUUUCAUUUGUUCAUUUAGCACACCAGACAGCUCAUAAUCCAGUGCCUUUAUCACAAUAAACACACCUAUUUUUUUGUUGUUGCUUCAAUAAGCUUUAAAAAUGCUACAUUUUCUCUCAGCCUCAUUGCAAAAUGUGUAGAAUAGAAUGAAAUGAGCUAUAAAAACUAUACAUUUUCCUCUAUUGUAGGAACAAUAUAUACACUACUGUUCAAAAGUUUGAGAUCAGUUAGAAAUGUCCUUGUAUUUGAAUGAAAAGCACAUUUUUUUGUCUAUUAAAAUAACAUCAAAUUCAUCAGAAAUAAAGUGUAGACAUUGUUAAUGUUGUAAAUGACUAUUGUAGUUGGAAAUGGCUGAUUUGUUAUGGAAUAUCUACAAAGGAGUACAGAGGCCCAUUAUCAGCAACCAUCACUCCUGUGUUCCAAUGGCUAGCUACACAACGCUGUGUACUACUCCCUUCACAGAACAGCACAAACUGUCUCUAACAAGAAUAGAAAGAAGAGUGGGAGGCCCCGGUGCACAACUGAGCAAGAGGACAAGUACAUUAGAGUGUCUAGUUUGAGAAACAGAUGCCUCACAAGUCCUCAACUGGCAGCUUCAUUAAAUAGUACCCGCAAAACACCAGUCUCAACGUCAACAGUGAAGAGGC